UACGAAGGGGACUAGCGUUGUUCGGAUUUACUGGGCGUAAAGCGCGCGUAGGCGGAUCGCUAAGUCAGGGGUGAAAUGCCGAGGCUCAACCUCGGAACUGCCUUUGAUACUGGCGAUCUUAGAGUCCGGGAGAGGUGAGUGGAACUCCGAGUGUAGAGGUGAAAUUCGUAGAUAUUCGGAAGAACACCAGUGGCGAAGGCGGCUCACUGGCCCGGUACUGACGCUCAGGUGCGAAAGCGUGGGGAGCAAACAGG
This 254-nucleotide ribosomal RNA is filed under the name uncultured bacterium. RNAcentral describes it as "partial 16S ribosomal RNA". It matches the Rfam family "Bacterial small subunit ribosomal RNA", at positions 524 to 776 of the family's 1533-position model. The record is from RNAcentral.